RNAcentral lists this ribosomal RNA (253 nucleotides) under uncultured bacterium. RNAcentral's name for it is "partial 16S ribosomal RNA". It matches the Rfam family "Bacterial small subunit ribosomal RNA", at positions 524 to 776 of the family's 1533-position model. The record is from RNAcentral.
UACGUAGGGGGCAAGCGUUGUCCGGAAUCAUUGGGCGUAAAGAGCGCGUAGGCGGCCAGAUAAGUCCGGUGUGAAAGUCACAGGCUCAACCUGUGAAUGCCGCUGGAAACUGUCUGGCUAGAGUCCGGUAGGGGCGAGUGGAAUUCCUGGUGUAGCGGUGAAAUGCGCAGAUAUGAGGAGGAACACCAAUGGCGAAGGCAGCUCGCUGGAACGGUACUGACGCUGAGGCGCGAAAGCGUGGGGAGCGAACAGG